UGGAAAUCUAUCCUAACAUUUUUUUAAAAGUAACACUUUGCUUAAAUAAUGUAGUAUAAUAAAUUUAGUCUCCUUUUUUUCCUUUUAUUAGCAAAUUAGAAUUUACACAUAGAAUAAAAAUAAUGCCUUCUAUGUUUAUUGAUUGUUUUUGUGCCACUUUCAUUGUCAUUUAACUAAACUUGUGUUACAAAUGGUAUCCUGUAAUGGAUUUUUACUUUUUUAUCAAAAGAAGGCGAUUUCAUUUUCUACCUCGGAGAGAAUCCAAUGCAAAAUAGAGCCAGCAUAAUUACAUACGUACUUUUAUAACUUCAAUAUCAUAAUAUUUUGAUUUUGCUUUAUAUCACGUACUUUCCCAGCUGGUGGGCAGCUUCUGUUUUAGCUUUGUGGAUUAUAUUAGUAACGGGGGAAAGAGAUAUCAUACACAUUGUGAAACUAAUGAGCCCAACAUUCUGGUGUCAUUUGAGGAUACAAUAUUACAUCUGUUUGAUAGUCUUUGACUUGCUUUGUUAUAAUGCCUUGUACUCCAGGCACAGUGGCACUUCAUAAUUAUUUAUAGCAUGUAAGGACUUAGGCAGCAGCAGCAGAAUAUAAGUGCCAGGGGGGUAGUCAGGAAAGGAGAAAGACUUAGGAAGGACUGAUGAGGAAGGUAGAUACCAAGACAUGAGUCAAACCAGAUGUUGUGAACAGGGUUCCACAUGGUCAGGACAAAUCAGGGGAGCAGAUGACAAGAAAGCAGUAAGGCAGUAAGAGAAAACAUCUGGACAGCCAAAUCCCUUUCUUCAGGGUCAAAUAAGGUUUAAGAGAAGAGGCAAUUUCCUACUUCAGCUUUAGGAGUCCUCUGAUCUCAUGGGAACUAGUUCUUCAAUACAGUGCUUGUAAAACUUAAUGUGCAUAUGAAUCCCCUGGAGAUCUUUUAAAAUGCAGAUUCUGAUUCAAGAGGUCUGAGAUGAGGUCUGGCAUCUCCACUUCCAACAAUCUUCUAGAUGAUACUGAUGCUGCUGGUACAGGGAUCACAUAUUGUACAUCAAAAUGUUAAGCCAGCCCAGAGAUAGGCAAAGUAGACCAGCCAAAAGCUGGCUAGAAUGAGGAGCAUAGCAUUGGGGAGCAAGUAGAGUUUCUAAUAAAGGCAGAAUCUGCAAAUUUAAUGUAUUUCAGAUGAAAAAGCAAACUUGGUUGAUGGUUGCUUGUUAUGGAUUGACUUAACUCCCCGCCCCAAGAUAUCGAAUCCUAACCCCAGUACCGUGGAAUGUGAUCUUAUUUGGAAAUGGGGUCUUCACAGAGGUAAUUGAGUUAAAAUGAGGUCAUUAGGAUGAAACCUAAUCCAUUAUGACUGUGUCCUUAUAAAAAGGGAAAAUCUGAAUGCAGACAGACAUGCACUGAGGGAAGACGAUGUGAAGACACACAGGAGAAGAUGCCCAUGGGCCUGGAAUAAUGCGUCUAUAAGCCAGUGAACACCAAGGGUAGCCAGCAAACACCAGAAGCUAGAAGAAGCCAGGAUUCUUCCCUAGAACCAUCAGAGCGUGGCCCUGCUGACGUCUGGAAUUUGGACUUCUAGACUUCAGAACCGUGAGACAAAAAGAAGCUGAAGAUCAAGACUUGGAAAGAGUAGCACGUUUCUUAGUGAAGAAACAGCCAAGAAAAUUACUGCUCUCCUAGCUCAAUGAGAAGCAUUAAUUAAAGGUGACAGAACCUUUAAUAUAUAUUUGAGGAACCAUCCCUUUUCUACACUCCAUGUAGCUCUUCUCCUCAGCGAGGCUGGCUGGUCUCCAAGGGUGCUCAUCUUCAAAAGGACCCCAACCUUGGACCACCAGCUAGAAGGAGCAAUAGGAACAGAGGUAGGAAGAGAGAAGAGAAUUCUUUUGGAGGCACUGCUUUGGGGGCAAAAUGAGAACUGAAGGAAAAAGAAAAGGAAGAUAAGUUUGUUUCUUCAAGGCAGAGCAACUUUUGCAUUCCUUGUGUAAGUAGCAAAGGUUCAUGCUAUUUGCCUCCUUGUUAUAGUCUAGAUUUACCCACAUAUUUAGGGUUCUCGGGAAAAGAGUAAGAAACAAAGCAGCUGGAGGCGAAAGAACAGAAUUUUGAUGGCUCUACUCAGAGCCAUGUCUAAGAAGGAUGUGGUACCACCUCCCAUUGCUUCUCAUAUAUAUACUUUUUUUUUGGUUAAUUUUUUUUGUUUUUGUUUUUGAUUUUUUUUGAGGAAGAUUAGCCCUGAACUAAC
This 2215-nucleotide long non-coding RNA is filed under the name Equus caballus (horse). Its description in RNAcentral is "lncRNA (ENSECAG00000045260.1)". Lineage: Eukaryota; Metazoa; Chordata; Mammalia; Perissodactyla; Equidae. The record is from RNAcentral.